Molecule: ribosomal RNA, 524 nt
Filed under: uncultured bacterium
Lineage: Bacteria
Description: bacterial SSU rRNA
Rfam family: Bacterial small subunit ribosomal RNA
Source: RNAcentral
UGGGGAAUAUUGGACAAUGGACCAAGAGUCUGAUCCAGCAAUUCUGUGUGCACGAUGACGUUUUUCGGAAUGUAAAGUGCUUUCAGCUGGGAAGAAAAAAAUGACGGUACCAACAGAAGAAGUGACGGCUAAAUACGUGCCAGCAGCCGCGGUAAUACGUAUGUCACGAGCGUUAUCCGGAUUUAUUGGGCGUAAAGCGCGUCUAGGUGGUUAUGUAAGUCUGAUGUGAAAAUGCGGGGCUCAACUCUGUAUUGCGUUGGGAACUGUGUAACUAGAGUACUGGAGAGGUAAGCGGAACUACAAGUGUAGAGGUGAAAUUCGUAGAUAUUUGUAGGAAUGCCGAUGGGGAAGCCAGCUUACUGGACAGAUACUGACGCUGAAGCGCGAAAGCGUGGGUAGCAAACAGGAUUAGAUACCCUGGUAGUCCACGCCGUAAACGAUGAUUACUAGGUGUUGGGGGUCGAACCUCAGCGCCCAAGCAAACGCGAUAAGUAAUCCGCCUGGGGAGUACGUACGCAAGUAUG